This 204-nucleotide long non-coding RNA is filed under the name Nicotiana benthamiana. RNAcentral's name for it is "long non-coding RNA (NBEN_LNC017296)". Lineage: Eukaryota; Viridiplantae; Streptophyta; Magnoliopsida; Solanales; Solanaceae. The record is from RNAcentral.
AUUGUUUAGCCUUUAAUACCCUUUCUUUCUAGCCUAUCCAAAUCCCACAUUACGGUCCAAAGAAAGACCUUCCGAUCAGUCUUUAAAUGAGGCCAAGUCAGGCAAAUGGGAGAGUCUUAUCAGAACUUAACACUCUAAUCCCCGAUGAAAAGACUCCGACCCCAGCAGAAAAGACUCUGGUCCCCUGCAGAGAAGAUACAUGAG